Molecule: non-coding RNA, 99 nt
Filed under: Peribacillus simplex
Lineage: Bacteria; Bacillati; Bacillota; Bacilli; Caryophanales; Bacillaceae
Description: Glycine riboswitch
Rfam family: Glycine riboswitch aptamer
About the family: This family represents the bacterial glycine riboswitch. Glycine riboswitches usually consist of two metabolite-binding aptamers domains with similar structures in tandem.
Source: RNAcentral
ACGCACCUCUGGAGAGCGCGUAUAAACAUGUACGCCACCAAAGGGGAAAGGUUCUAUUUAAAAUGGAGCUAAACUCUCAGGUAAAAGGACAGAGAAGGG